This is a long non-coding RNA of Lolium rigidum, 1438 nucleotides long. RefSeq lists it as uncharacterized. The transcript has 5 exons. The record is from RefSeq and is a predicted model, not a curated record. NCBI's taxonomy places the organism in Eukaryota, Viridiplantae, Streptophyta, Magnoliopsida, Poales, Poaceae.
GCCACUGAGAUAUAUCAUGUAAUUUCACUUUGAGAGGAGAAGAGAAGUGAAGAUGAAGUGGUAGAUCUAUAGGUGAAUCCCGAAAUACAUAUAUCUGGGGUGUAGCUACCGCAGGCUGCUGCUACGUUACUUUAUUCCUCAGGUUGGUUCAUGCGUUUGUCUAUACAAUCCAAAUUCAGAUGCACCACAGGCAGAUCAACAUCCUCUAGCCACAAAUGUUCGUUUUACCAUCAGAGUGAGAAAUUAAUCAAGUAUCAAGCAAAUAAGACAGACAUUGGUCUGUCCCUAAUGCCUUCUUUCAUGCCCUGGUGAGUUCAGAUGUUCUACUUCUCAUAGCUGCUUAUGAGCCAUAUUUACAGAUGUAAUGAUUAUGCAAUUAUAUUUUGUCUUGCCACUUUUCAUUUUUAUUCUAGGUCAUUUGUCCAUGCUCCAGAAAGUUUCGAUCAAAUUUCAUUGUGCAUGAACCAAGAUCUACAGAUGUAAACCAGUAUCUCAUUACAUUUUCAGAAAAGUAACCAAUAUUCCUGACAUGUCUGGUUGCUUGCAGGGGAGCCGUGUUGUUCGUGUUCUCCUCCACAUGUUUGGUCUGCUUAUGUGUGUUUCUUGUAUUAUCACUUACACAGUAAGGAUAUUCUGAUGGUUAUUGUCUCUGCAAUUGGCCUGUUACAAUUGAUUCUGUUGUUGUCCAUGGGUCCUUUUAUCAGUACACCUCUACAUGUAUUUGGAAUAUAUGUAGAUAUGCACCUGUACAGAAAAGUAACCUUCGUUUCUAUUUGUUUCAGGUUUGAUGUAGGCUAUUGCUGGCUUGCUGCAACUGUUUCUCUGGCAUGUAGUCCCCUGCCUCCCCCUUGCACCACGUGUGUCAUAAAAGCAAGAAGUUGAUUACUUAGUAUGAAGGUGUUUAUGUAUGCAUUGUGCGUUUGAAAUAAUCUUGGUGCAGCUAGCUAAUGAAAUAUUGAUUCUUACUAAGAUAUUUAUGUUUGAAUUUUCCUAAAUCAGUUCAAGAUAAUCUUGGUGUGAUCAUGAAACCGAGAAGUUGAUUCAAUGCAGAUAUGGUGGUCGUAGAUGGACAAGCCUGGUGGAGUGCCAGUGAGAAGCAACGUCUUAGAAUUAAACGUUUGAGCAGCAUGUGGUUACUCAGAGCAGAGCAAUAUGUUAUGUGGUGGUCGUAGAUGGAUAAGCCCGGUGGAGUGCCAGUGAGAAGCAACAUCUUAGAAAUAAACGUUUGAGCAGCAUGUGGUUACUCAGAGCAGAGCAAUAUGUUAUGGUUGAUCAAAACAGUUUCCUUACUACCUGAAGUUCCAACCAUAGGUAAAUAGCUAUAUUCGUCACCGUAAUGUUCAUCGAUGCAUGCAUCAAGAAUUUGGUCAAUCGAACAUGUAGGUCAGCACUUUAUGGUCGCAUAAUUUUUGUUAGUACAUAAUUUCUGUUCUUCGGA